Molecule: ribosomal RNA, 408 nt
Filed under: uncultured bacterium
Lineage: Bacteria
Description: partial 16S ribosomal RNA
Rfam family: Bacterial small subunit ribosomal RNA
Source: RNAcentral
GACGAACGCUGACGGCGUGCUUAACACAUGCAAGUCGAAGGGAGUGGCGAACGGGUGAGUAACACGUGAGUAACCUGCCCUUUUCUUUGGGAUAAGCCUGGGCAACUGGGUCUACUACUGGAUGGUUUGGGAUGGGCUCGCGGCUUAUCAGCUUGUUGGUGGGGUGAUGGCUUACCAAGGCUUUGACGGGUAGCCGGCCUGAGAGGGUGGGCGGUCACACUGGGACUGAGUUACGGCUCAGACGCCUACGGGAGGCAGCAGUGGGGGAGAUGGCACAAUGGACGAAAGGCUGAUGCAGCGACGUCGUGUGGGGGAGGAAGGCCUUCGGGUUGUAAACUCCUUUCGCCCGCGGAAUGGGAGUGGGUAAAGAAGCGCCGGCUAACUACGUGCCAGCAGCCGCGGUAAUAC